UGGGAACCUUCCCUAUGGUUCGGAAUAGCUCAGGGAAACUUGGGGUAAUACCGGAUAAGCCCUUCGGGGGAAAGAUUUAUCGCCAUUGGAUGGGCCCGCGUCGGAUUAGCUAGUUGGUGGGGUAACGGCCUACCAAGGCGACGAUCAGUAGCUGGUCUGAGAGGAUGAUCAGCCACACUGGGACUGAGACACGGCCCAGACUCCUACGGGAGGCAG
Molecule: ribosomal RNA, 216 nt
Filed under: uncultured bacterium
Lineage: Bacteria
Description: partial 16S ribosomal RNA
Rfam family: Bacterial small subunit ribosomal RNA
Source: RNAcentral